CCUACGGGAGGCAGCAGUGAGGAAUAUUGGUCAAUGGGCGUAAGCCUGAACCAGCCAAGUCGCGUGAGGGAUGAAGGGUCUAUGGAUCGUAAACCUCUUUUAUAAGGGAAUAAAGUGUGGGACGUGUCCUAUUUUGUAUGUACCUUAUGAAUAAGGAUCGGCUAACUCCGUGCCAGCAGCCGCGGUAAUACGGAGGAUCCGAGCGUUAUCCGGAUUUAUUGGGUUUAAAGGGUACGUAGGCGGCCUUUUAAGUCAGCGGUGAAAGUCUCUGGCUCAACCAUAGAAGUGCCGUUGAAACUGGGAGGCUAGAGUAUGUUAGAGGCAGGCAGAAUGCGAGGUGUAGCGGUGAAAUGCUUAGAUAUCACGCAGAACACCGAUUGCGAAGGCAGCCUGCCAAGCAAUGACUGACGCUGAUGCACGAAAGCGUGGGGAUCAAACAGGAUUAGAUACCCCUGUAGUC
This 460-nucleotide ribosomal RNA is filed under the name uncultured bacterium. RNAcentral's name for it is "partial 16S ribosomal RNA". It matches the Rfam family "Bacterial small subunit ribosomal RNA", at positions 338 to 795 of the family's 1533-position model. The record is from RNAcentral.